AUUGAACGCUGGCGGCAUGCCUUACACAUGCAAGUCGAACGGUAACAGGUCUUCGGAUGCUGACGAGUGGCGAACGGGUGAGUAAUACAUCGGAACGUGCCCGAUCGUGGGGGAUAACGAAGCGAAAGCUUUGCUAAUACCGCAUAAGAUCUACGGAUGAAAGCAGGGGACCGCAAGGCCUUGCGCGAACGGAGCGGCCGAUGGCCGAUUAGGUAGUUGGUGGGAUAAAAGCUUACCAAGCCGACGAUCUGUAGCUGGUCUGAGAGGACGACCAGCCACAAUGGGACUGAGACACGGCCCAGACUCCUACGGGAGGCAGCAGUGGGGAAUUUUGGACAAUGGGCGAAUGCCUGAUCCAGCCAUGCCGCGUGCAGGAUGAAGGCCUUCGGGUUGUAAACUGCUUUUGUACGGAACGAAAAGACUCUUUCUAAUAAAGAGGGUCCAUGACGGUACCGUAAGAAUAAGCACCGGCUAACUACGUGCCAGCCGCCGCAGUAA
This 498-nucleotide ribosomal RNA is filed under the name uncultured bacterium. RNAcentral's name for it is "partial 16S ribosomal RNA". It matches the Rfam family "Bacterial small subunit ribosomal RNA", at positions 30 to 523 of the family's 1533-position model. The record is from RNAcentral.